GCCUCGGUAGUCUAAAGGAACUUAGGACGCUCGCACGGAAUGCAAGAGAUCCGGGUUCGACUCCCGUUCGAGGUA
This 75-nucleotide transfer RNA is filed under the name Trachymyrmex cornetzi. It matches the Rfam family "tRNA". Rfam says of the family: Transfer RNA (tRNA) molecules are approximately 80 nucleotides in length. The record is from Rfam by way of RNAcentral. Lineage: Eukaryota; Metazoa; Arthropoda; Insecta; Hymenoptera; Formicidae.